GGGUGCUAUGUUAAUUAAACCUGGUGCCUUCUUAGUUACAUCCAAACAGUUGGCGUGCAUCCAAGCAUUUUGAAUUUUAUGUUUGGUGCUGAAUUUAACCCAAUGUCUGCAUUAUUUCUUUAUCAUUUUCGUACCCAUUUAUUAUUUUACGUUUGAUAAAGGCCAUUAGUUUGCAUUUUUAUUUGUUGUGUUGAGUAGUACAUAUAGGG
This 209-nucleotide long non-coding RNA is filed under the name Vigna radiata. RNAcentral's name for it is "long non-coding RNA (VRAD_LNC007107)". Lineage: Eukaryota; Viridiplantae; Streptophyta; Magnoliopsida; Fabales; Fabaceae. The record is from RNAcentral.